CCUACGGGUGGCAGCAGUGAGGAAUCUUGGUCAAUGGACGAGAGUCUGAACCAGCAAAGUAGCGUGAAGGAUGACUGCCCUAUGGGUUGUAAACUUCUUUUAUAUGGGAGUAAAAUGUUCCACGUGUGGGAUUUUGUUUGUACCAUAUGUAUUAGGAUCGGCUAACUCCGUGCCAGCAGCCGCGGUAAUACGGAGGAUACGAGCGUUGUCCGGAUUUAUUGGGUUUAAAGGGAGCGUAGGUGGAUUGUUAAGUCAGUUGUGAAAGUUUGCGGCUCAACCGUAAAAUUGCAGUUGAAACUGGCAGUCUUGAGUACAGUAGAGGUGGGCGGAACUCGAUGUGUAGCGGUGAAAUGCUUAGAUAUCACGAAGAACUCCGAUUGCGAAGGCAGUUCACUGGACUGCAACUGACACUGAGGCUCGAAAGUGUGGGUAGCAAACAGGAUGAGAUACCCUUGUAGUC
RNAcentral lists this ribosomal RNA (460 nucleotides) under uncultured bacterium. RNAcentral's name for it is "partial 16S ribosomal RNA". It matches the Rfam family "Bacterial small subunit ribosomal RNA", at positions 338 to 795 of the family's 1533-position model. The record is from RNAcentral.